Molecule: long non-coding RNA, 1040 nt
Filed under: Hordeum vulgare
Lineage: Eukaryota; Viridiplantae; Streptophyta; Magnoliopsida; Poales; Poaceae
Description: long non-coding RNA (HVUL_LNC004494)
Source: RNAcentral
GGAGAGGGCACGCAAUAAUGCCCAUGCGAAGGCCAUGCACGACUUCGUUGUGGUAAGUCAGUUGUGUGAGAAGCAAGGCUAUGUGUGAGACGCAACAAGGCUAUUUCUUUGACUCCUCGAAAACUAAUUUCCAGGCUAUGUGUGAGAAGCAAGGCUAUGUGUGAGACGCAACAAGGCUAUUUCUUUGACUCCUCGAAAACUAAUUUGUAGGCUAUGUGUGAGAAGCAAGGUUUGCCGCCCCCUCCGCCGAUGCCUUCUCCGGUGGGAACGGUGAGUUCCCUUUCAAUGACCAACCUUGCACGGUCUUAUACCAUUGUCUGUCGCAGUGCUAACCACAUAUUUUAACUCUUGCCUUGUUGCAGCAUCAUUCCAGAGUUGAAUCCCACGAUCCCUUUACUUCUCCUGGUGAGAGCCCUAGCAACCCAGCGACCAACAGAGAUGGAGCUUCUCCUCCGUUUCUUGGCAUUCGGUAAGUUAUUCCUCUCCUUCUUAUUCUUCUUAUUGUUUAGAUCAACUUAGAUCAUGCCAUGCUUUAGUUAGCUUAGUAAAGUCUAGUUGAUAUUAGCCAUGCUUUAGUUAGCUUAGUAAAUUCUAGUUGAUAUUAGAGCUCAAAAAUGACAUAAUUAGUUUAGAAAGUUUUAAAAGAAACCAGAAGAGAAGAACAAACAAGAGAUGAAGAAAUAAGAGAAGAAGAAAGAGGAGAAAAAGAUAACUUCUCUUCUUUCUUUUUCUCCAUCUUCUUCUUCUUCUUCCACUUCUUCUUCUUGUUGUUGUUCUUGUUCUUGUUAUUCUUCUUCCACUUCUUCUUCUAAUUGCUUAGCUUAAUUUAGAUAACUUCUUUCUUAUUGUAUUCUUCUUCUAACUUCUUUCUCAUUAUGCAGAUUUUGAUAAAGCAACAUGGCAUAUGGAUGGAUGCUCGAGGGACUUUGUAAUGCACUUGUGUAGUCUUAGAUGAACUUUGUAAUGCACUUGUAUUUGUGGAUGAUGCUUUGUAAUACUUUGUGAUCUUGUUUGCACUUUAAUUACAUAUAUUCGUGUUG